Molecule: ribosomal RNA, 378 nt
Filed under: Altiphrynoides cf. osgoodi HCL-2014
Lineage: Eukaryota; Metazoa; Chordata; Amphibia; Anura; Bufonidae
Description: partial 12S ribosomal RNA
Rfam family: Bacterial small subunit ribosomal RNA
Source: RNAcentral
GCUUAGCUGUAAACUUUUAUUUACAUCUAAAUCGCCAGGGAACUACAAGCUAAGCUUAAAACCCAAAGGACUUGACGGUACCCCAUAUCCCCCUAGAGGAGCCUGUCCUAUAAUCGAUAAUCCACGUUUAACCUCACCAUUUUUAGUUAAUCAGCCUGUAUACCUCCGUCGUCAGCUUACCACGUGAGCGCCAAUUAGUGAGCCUAAUGUUAUUUUACCAAAACGUCAGGUCAAGGUGCAGCAAAUGAAAUGGAAAGAGAUGGGCUACACUUUCUAUAUUAGAAGAAACGAAAAACUACCUAUGAAACCUAGUUAGAAGGCGGAUUUAGCAGUAAAAAGGAAUCAGCAUGUCCAUUUUAACCCGGCUCUGGGGUGUGU